This 714-nucleotide ribosomal RNA is filed under the name Lutibacter sp. RNAcentral describes it as "bacterial SSU rRNA". It matches the Rfam family "Bacterial small subunit ribosomal RNA", at positions 28 to 735 of the family's 1533-position model. The record is from RNAcentral. Lineage: Bacteria; Pseudomonadati; Bacteroidota; Flavobacteriia; Flavobacteriales; Flavobacteriaceae.
GAUGAACGCUAGCGGCAGGCUUAACACAUGCAAGUCGAGGGGUAACAGAAGUAGCUUGCUAUUUGCUGACGACCGGCGCACGGGUGCGUAACGCGUAUACAAUCUACCUUUUACAGAGGAAUAGCCCAGAGAAAUUUGGAUUAAUACCUCAUAGUAUUAUAAAGUGGCAUCAUUUAAUAAUUAAAACUUCGGUGGUAAAAGAUGAGUAUGCGUUCUAUUAGCUAGAUGGUAAGGUAACGGCUUACCAUGGCAACGAUAGAUAGGGGUCCUGAGAGGGAGAUCCCCCACACUGGUACUGAGACACGGACCAGACUCCUACGGGAGGCAGCAGUGAGGAAUAUUGGACAAUGGAGGUAACUCUGAUCCAGCCAUGCCGCGUGCAGGAAGACGGCCCUAUGGGUUGUAAACUGCUUUUAUAUAGGAAGAAACCGUUCCACGUGUGGAACUCUGACGGUACUAUAUGAAUAAGCACCGGCUAACUCCGUGCCAGCAGCCGCGGUAAUACGGAGGGUGCAAGCGUUAUCCGGAAUCAUUGGGUUUAAAGGGUCCGUAGGCGGGCUAAUAAGUCAGGGGUGAAAUACCACAGCUCAACUGUGGAACUGCCUUUGAUACUGUUAGUCUUGAAUUAUAUGGAAGUAGAUAGAAUGUGUAGUGUAGCGGUGAAAUGCUUAGAGAUUACACAGAAUACCGAUUGCGAAGGCAGUCUACUACGUA